This 725-nucleotide ribosomal RNA is filed under the name Klebsiella oxytoca. RNAcentral's name for it is "partial 23S ribosomal RNA". It matches the Rfam family "Bacterial large subunit ribosomal RNA", at positions 1 to 652 of the family's 2925-position model. Lineage: Bacteria; Pseudomonadati; Pseudomonadota; Gammaproteobacteria; Enterobacterales; Enterobacteriaceae. The record is from RNAcentral.
GGUUAAGCGACUAAGCGUACACGGUGGAUGCCCUGGCAGUCAGAGGCGAUGAAGGACGUGCUAAUCUGCGAAAAGCGUCGGUAAGGUGAUAUGAACCGUUAUAGCCGGCGAUGUCCGAAUGGGGAAACCCAGUGCAAUUCGUUGCACUAUCGUUUGAUGAAUACAUAGUCAAACGAGGCGAACCGGGGGAACUGAAACAUCUAAGUACCCCGAGGAAAAGAAAUCAACCGAGAUUCCCCCAGUAGCGGCGAGCGAACGGGGAGCAGCCCGGAGUCUGAAUCAGCUUGUGUGUUAGUGGAAGCGUCUGGAAAGUCGCAGGGUACAGGGUGAUACUCCCGUACACUAAAACACACAGGCUGUGAACUCGAAGAGUAGGGCGGGACACGUGGUAUCCUGUCUGAAUAUGGGGGGACCAUCCUCCAAGGCUAAAUACUCCUGACUGACCGAUAGUGAACCAGUACCGUGAGGGAAAGGCGAAAAGAACCCCGGCGAGGGGAGUGAAAAAGAACCUGAAACCGUGUACGUACAAGCAGUAGGAGCCCCACCACCAAAGCGUUUCGCUUUGCGUGGUGCGCAAAAUGCGUAACGACAGCAUGAUGGACGGUUAACGGAGCGUCAGCGACGUUCAACCUCAAAAAUCAGGCAGUGGAGCGUUUUGGGGUGGGGUGACUGCGUACCUUUUGUAUAAUGGGUCAGCGACUUAUAUUCUGUAGCAAGGUUAACCG